Non-coding RNA from Coturnix japonica (Japanese quail), 2459 nucleotides. Lineage: Eukaryota; Metazoa; Chordata; Aves; Galliformes; Phasianidae. The record is from RefSeq and is a predicted model, not a curated record.
CCCAUGGGAGCUCAGGUGUAUGCAAUGUAGCUGAGUGACCAUAAGGGAUAGAGUCAGGAUCCACCCCUUCCUAGAUCUCAUUGAAUGGCUGGCAAUGGAGGUGAGGGUGCCCCAUGCAGAGCUCCCUGUGUACCUGAGGACUUUAUAGGCUUUCUGAAGGCUUCCCCUUUCAUCACAACUAAUGAAACUCUCAUACUGAAUCACCAACCCACUCAUGGGAAGUUGGAUGUACCUCACACUGGAGAACAGCUGAGAUACAGUGAAAUGGGAUGCAUUCUGUGCCAGCUGAAUACGUUGCCUUAUCAGCACUCAUAGCCCCCACCAGCUUGAGGGUGAAGGACUGAACCCAACUUGGUGAUUCAUUUCAGUACAGCUGAGCCACCAGCUCUGAUCCCACAUUGUGGAAUCCAAUGCACAAGUUUAACGCACACACCAGUGGACCAAAGCUUGAUGGAGUGCAGAGGGCUGGCUGAACUGAUCCUAAGGAUGUCUCAAGUCCAGAGAGGCGUCCUACAGGAUAUUGUGGAUGAACUCCCACUCAACUAUUGUAGAGAAUGCAAUGAAAUGCUCAGUUGCAACACUGCAUAAUAUCUGCAGGUAAAACCAGUCUCUGCAAGGACUCUUUGAACCAAAAUCAAUGAGUUACAGAAGUUCUUAUGAAAUAGCAAGUGUUACCUGUUGAAGCCACUCGGUGCAGGUAAGGCCUAAGGCAAUGACAGUAACAGAGAAGAAGGAACAAACCAGUACAUAAGGAGUUGAUAAUCAGUAGUCAGUGGCCAUUACACUGUAAAUAGAUUGAGAAGUUGGUCAUCAAUAUCUCUAAUUACAACCAAUCACGACUGUUGUCAUGAUUAAAUAACAGCAAAUGACAUUGUAUCUCUAAACAGGAGAGAGCUGUUUCUUUACAGUAGUCAAAAUUAUAACUAAACACUCACACAAAACAGCUACUGUGUGCUGAGAACUGAUUUCUCUCAAUUAUGCAGAGAAACAAUGAGCGCUCAGCAGCUUCCAGAAUCCAGCCUAAAACACAGCAUGCACAGAAUCUAUAUCAGAAACAAAAGCUCAAACAGGGCAAAAGAGUUAAAACAAAGGGAGUUGUGUUGUGAUCAUCAGCUUUACCCCAAAGAGCUUCUUUUCUCUUUAGGUCUAUUCUAGCUCCUCGCAUAGAAAUUCCACUGACCCCACUAAAAAUUCAUUUGAGCCUUGAGUCAGAUUUGUUCACUUUCUCAAACUGAUGUUAUGCAGUGAUAUCCUGUCCUUAAAUCCAUAAAUUAAGCAUAUGACAAAUUAUUUCUUCGUAUGGAUUAAGUCCCCACAUCAACCACAAAUGACUUAACAAAUGCACUGUUAACUACACUUGUAAGUUUUUCCCUUCUGCCUUCAGACACCUUUUGAUAGUAAGAGAAUUGUCCCUUCCAAAAAUACUUACUUAACUAGAAGAUAGAUGCUCACUAAUAGAGAUAGAAGUGUUAAUCCCACAUGUAUCCGUAUUACUAAGAAACAGGAAGAGCCCAAAUAUAUCAAUAUUACUUCCAAGGACUUAUCAAAAACCAUGGAUUAAAGAAGCUUAUUUUCUUGGGGAUGAUUUCUUUGUGCAGUGAUAUCUGACAUCAAUAUAAGGCCAUCAAAACUGCCUUAGUAUGCUGCAAAGUGCCUACAGUACUGCACCAAUUACAUGUCUUGCAGUCAGCAAACUCCUCUGCACCUCAAGUAUCCUUGUUAGUCACUGUGUAAAAUGUAAAGAGCACAGAUCAACAAGCAGGCUCAAACAGCACUUUAAAAGAUAGGGGAAAAAAAAGGGGGGGGGAAGGAAGAAAGGAGCCUAUAUGAGCCUAUAUGACUAUAGCAUCAGUGGCAGGGUGAUCUGAUCCCUCUGCAUGUGGUAGAAUGAAAUCUGCAGAAGAAGCAAAUCCCUUCUCGAAACUCUCAUCUAUCUUGAAGACAUGAAUACUAAUCAUUGUUAAUGUAAAUGCUGUCAAGCACCCAACCAUUAUUUAGAAAAAGAUGUAUUUCUUUAAGAAGCACCUUCCCCAGGUCUUCCAGCACAGUUUGUGCUGUCUGUCUAUUGUUAGAUUGCACACUCCCAGGGCCAGGAAGCAUCAUUCUUCCUGCCUCUUACAGUGCUAAGCACAUUAUCGAAGCUUAGCAUCCAUAACUACGAAAAGCACAGCAAAGAAAAACCCCAGAGUUUACUUUGAUCCCAGUCCUGUUCUGACGUCAGGUAACUGGACUCAUGAAGUAGCUGUCAAGGCUAUUAGGAAAAAAAAAUGGCAAAAAUAUUUAGGGCCCACAUACAAGGAGACAAAGGAGAAAACUAAUGUUUCACUCAGAUUUAUUUCCCUGCAUGAUACCUCUCUAUAAACAUUCAUUCAUACUUGCAGUGGCUUUAGCUUGAUUAGAGCAGAGCCUCUCUGCAUGAGGAAGGUAGUGUAUGAUAAACUAGGCUAAAUAUUUCUAAA